UAGAACUGCCCGGCAAAGGCUUGCGGACGCGGGUUCAACUCCCGCCAGCUCCACCA
Molecule: transfer-messenger RNA, 56 nt
Filed under: Comamonadaceae bacterium
Lineage: Bacteria; Pseudomonadati; Pseudomonadota; Betaproteobacteria; Burkholderiales; Comamonadaceae
Description: partial transfer-messenger RNA
Rfam family: transfer-messenger RNA
About the family: Bacterial tmRNA, also known as 10Sa RNA or SsrA, is named for its dual tRNA and mRNA-like properties.
Source: RNAcentral